CUCCUUUCUCCCUUCUCCUCUUUUCCUUCUAUCCACCAUACCCAAAUCAAAAGACCUAGAUUUGCCACGUCACCCCCAUAGCUGCACCUCCUCUGCCAAUAUUCUCCUAUUUUUAACCAUCCAAGCUUGUGAAUUUGUGAGAAUCAAAGGAAAAAGACCCAAUUCGAUGUUUGAUAUCAAUUUCUCCAUUAAUGGCCUGGAAAAAGAAUAGAUUUAUUACAGAAUUUCAUAUCAAUUUUUAAACCAAGUCGUCUUCUCAUCACUCUUGCUUAAAUCAAGUUUCAAAUCUGAAAUUUCAAGUAUUUAUUUCACCUAUAAAUAUGAGUAUUCUUCACCCAUUGGGGGAGAGGUUUUGAAGGACGAAAAAAGGGGGAAGAAGCAAAAAACAAGUCUUGAGAAAUAAAAUUGUGAAAAAAAAAGGGCGGACAAUCUUUGAGAGAAAAUAAAGGUUCAAGAUUAAGGUGGAAAAUUAGAGGAAAAUAAGCUUGAAAGGUUAGGAUUUCAAAAAUAAAUAAAUAGAGAAAGCAGAAGCAAAACACAAGAGAAUUAAAAGAAAAGAGAGAAAGCAGCCUGUUCUGAAAAUCUUAACAAGGUCUAGUAUUGCAAUAUCUGGCUUUAUUUUUAGCUUGGUGUUAAAUUUGGUGAUUUCUAUUUGAGUUCGAAGUCGGUGGAAUCUUGACAUGAAAGCCCCGGCUUUGCUGCACCAAAAAAGGUGUGAGUCUACUUUCAUCUCUUUUCCCCUCAUCUAUUUGGUCUCAGCGAUAUAUGAUCUUUUAAUUUAUAAGCAUAUUUUCUUGUUGUCCUUUUUUGGUAAAUAUGAGUUUUAGUCCAAAAAUGAAAAAAUAUUUUCAUACGUGAAUAUCAAGAUCUAUAAAUAUGUGUGUUUACUUCACUGGGGUGCUGCUAGUCAUUUUUAUUUACUCAUUAUUUAUUUAGACAAGAGUUACUAUCCCUUACAUGCUAUAUUUUGUGAUUUGUUCCCACUGACGGAAAGCAAGAUGACGUGAGAAUCAUCAUUUGUUUCCCCGUUCGGAUGUGUUUUGUGAAUACGGGAUCCCAUCGACAUUGUUGUUGUUAUUCUGGUGUUAUGAAUAAGAACAUGAUAAUAUUUUAUUUGGUGUAGGCAUAUCAAAAUAUGGCUAAAAAUUAUUAUUUCCUUAUAUCCAAGUCGAAUCCGUGAGUACAUUCUAUUUGCGAAAUUGAGUUAUGUGUGUUUUUUUUUUGGAUAAUUGAUAUGUGCGUCACAGUCUAUUCUUUACAAAUCAAAGUUUUAAAGGAGCAAUUCUAUUUUGGCAUCAGAAGUAUAUGAAAGGAAAAGGCCAAAUAGUUGCUCACUUUACUUUUUGUAUUAAAAAAGGGAGUCGUUUUUUUCUUCAUCAACUAUAUUUGAAGCCUUAUGGAAUUUUCAAAGGAAAAGUGUUUAAAGAAAGUUUUGAUAAAUGAAAAAAUGUUGAAUACAUUUUUUCAAAGGAAAUGUGUUUAAAGUUAGUUUUCAUAAAUGAAAAAAUGUUGAAUAGUUUUGCACGACAAACUGGUGAAAUUUUUAUUUGAAAUAUUUUACGAGUGAUGAUUAUGCUUGAUCAAACUACUAUUAUAUUGUUAUAAAAUGUUAAAUUACAGGGAAUAAGUGUUUUAUUGAAGUUAUGCUAUGAAGUGUUUUAAAAAGAGAAUAUUUUAUUUGAUUCAAACUCACUAUAUGUUUACGAUUGUAGGGAAGAAGAUUGAAUCUUUAAGUAACUAAAGACAAAAAUAAAAGAUUUUUUUAGGAUCCUAAUUUUCUUUUUUUUAAACUCUAUUAUUUUUGUUGGUAGUUUAUGGUAACAUUAUUUGCCUUAAUUGGGCUCAAAAUAUGUUGGAGAAAUUUAUUUGUAGGAUUAGUAACUAAGACUCCAGUAUCAUUUUUUAAAAUAAAUGCAUGCGUGAUACCUCCUGUUACCCUACAUAAUCCUUAACAUGCACUGUAGCUAUGUUUGCUCCCUAACUGUGUGUGCCAUGUGACUCAAAUUAUCCAAGUAUUUAUUAUUUGGUUCAUUUUACCGAGUAUAGUUUUAACCCUUACUAAUCCUUAUCCUUUUAUUUUACAUGUAAUCCGGAGUUGUGGUUUCGCAUUGGAACUCGUUUUGACCCAAUAUGUGGUUAAUAGCUACUAGGAGUACAGAGCCUCAGAGUCCCGCAGAUUAGGAGCCUAAAUUCCCCAAAUGGGAUUUUUAUAUUCCUUUUCCUCUUUAUAUUUUAUUUACAUUCGGCAUAUUGAUUCUUUCGUUACAACUAACUCUCAUUGUCAAUUUUGCUUAAGGUAGUUUUAUUUGAUUGUUUGGAUUAUUUUGCUAUACUACUUGUUGACCCUUUUACGUGUUUUUUUUUACAUUUCAUUUCUCGCAAAUAUCAUAUGAUUAUCGUCCAGAUAAAAAAUACACCUUGAUCACAUUCGGAUAACUCUUUUAAUAAUCUAUGACUAAUAUUUUAAAAUAAAAUUGGCAUAGUAACCUUUAUGUUUCUCUGAAAAUACAUAUCAAUGAAAAGAACUUUUCAAAACUAAUAGGAAAACAUUACCAAAUUUACAUUUUUAGGAUUACUUCCACCAAUUUAAAUUAUUUUUUUGAUAAAUAAUUCUAAUGUUUAGCACCGUAUUUUACUCAAGUUUUCAGGAUAGAAAUGUAAGGUAUAUAUUUCUAUUCAUCUGCUACUGCGUACAAGGUAUAUUAUUUUAUACUAUAAUAACUAUUUUGUUACUAUUAUUGAUCAUUGUUAUUACCAAUAUUAAUAUUAUUAUUAUUAUUAUUAUCAUACUGAAACUAUUGUCAUUAUUUUAAUUUAUUAUUAUCAUUAUUAUAAUUAUUAUUAUCCUUAUAUUUUUUUUACAUAAUUUCAAUAUAUCCAUAAUUCAACAUCUAUUUUUUUACACUCUUGAAAUUACGUUCUACAAAUAAAUUCCUAUGUCAUAAGAUACUUUAUUUACUUCAUAAAUAAUUAUAGUUAACCAUUUAAAGCUACAUAUUUCUUUGAUUUUUCUUGUAGAAUUAUACGAUUUUAAAUUUUUCAAAUAUAUAGAAAAUUAUAUCAUCAUCCUUUUCAUACUUAAAGUGCAUGUAUAUUUUGCAAUAAUUGCAUUACUUUCUUUGUACGUGGUAGCAUCAUGUUUGAUAUACCUUAAAUUUUCGUUUGAAUAAUAAAUAAUAAUAAAAGUUUUUCUUAUCAUUGUUUUAUGCAAAUAACAAAAUAAAGUUAUUUUUUAAUAUUUUCCUAAACUAAGCAUAAGGACUAUCUUCGGAUAGGCUCUGAGGGGUGCCUAGCAUCUUCGGAUAGGCUCUGAGGGAUGCCUAGCACCUUCCCCUCGGAUAACCAAAACCCUUACUUAGAAUCUCUAAAAUAUUUUCGAAGAUCGAAGUAGAGUUUUCUACAUAAAAAAUAUUUUUUCCUAAUUUUCCUAAAAAUUUAGGUGGUGACUCUAAAAAAUAAUUUUCAAAUCUCUAGAGUCACGACAUACCACCAUACGUUGUGUGCUGUUUCGAUCGGUUUGGAAUAGGGCGCGACAAUAUCUUAUAACUUAUUUAAGGUUUCAUAAUUAACUGUAAUAGAUCAUAUAUUCUAAUACUUAUUUUAACAUCACGUCAAAUACAUUCUCUUAGAUUAAACAACUAAUUGUAAUAUUUUUCUUUUACUACUUUAUUUAAAAAUUAUAUGAGACAAUAGAUUAAAAUUAUAAAUAUCUAUUUAUUAACAUUUUAUAUAGAAUCAUACGAAGCAAUAAAGGAUACUAAUCCAUACACAAAUUGAUUUUAAAUAUAUUUUUAUUCGUUUUGCUGGUAUUUAACAAGUUAAAAUAAGGACCCACUGGAUGAACAUUUUAAUGAAUCAUAAUGCUAAAGGAUUGCCUUUAUAUCUUAUCUUAUAUAUGUUAAAGAUAGGAGACCAAUUUAAUAUAGUAAGUAAUAAAUUUUCUUUAAGUGAUUUGUCUACCUGAAUUGGAAUUUUCCUACUUCAAAUAAAGAGAAUCAAAAGAAUUAACAAAAGUUCGCAUGAUAUAUAUUAUAGUAAUUUAACAUGAGAUAGUUAAUAUUACAUUUUAAAUAAUAUGCUUAAAAUAAUUCUAAAAGGUGCUGAGCAAAUAAUUAUGUUUUCAUAAAUUAUAUGUUGUGCAAACCUUUGUAAUAUGUAUCAUGUGAAGUUUUAAAAUUAUAGAGGAAUCGCUUAUUGUGUUUGGCGGAUAAACACCAAUUCAAUAUUUAUGAGUAUUUUUUGUUAUCUUACUAUAAUAUAGUAAUAGUUACUUUAUGCAGUUAAAUGUGUGGCUAAAAUUAACUUCACAUUUUUAUGUUCUAUGGAACAUAUGUGAGUAUUUACACAUACUCCUAUAGACUAUGUCUUCCUUAUUUCAAUUGGGUUAGGAAGGAGCUUAGGGGCUCGGGUUCAUAUGGUGAAAUAUCCUAUGAAAAUUUUACCUAUGGUCAGCUUAUAGUAGCCUGUACUCAGCAAGGUUUAGCUUUGUGCAAUGAGUUAAAAUUAGCUAGACAAAUUAAGCUUGAUAAACUUAAAGAAAAAUCCCAAUUAGGAGAUUUUUAUGAGCAAUUUGGUAUGGAUAAACUGGCUUCUACUUCUUAGGAAAAGGGUCAAAGAUAUUCUAAGUCUGAUAAACCCUAUAAGCAGAAGAGAUCUAGGAAUAGAUCCAAAGAAGAGCGUGAGACUCAUAUAGCCCAUCGUAAGUCUACUAGAUUUGCGAAGAAUAGGUCUAAGCGUGAUCUUGCAAAAAUUAAGUGUUACAAAUGUGGUAACUUAGGGCAUAUUGCUCCUAACUGCAAGCUCCAAAAGCUUACGUUCAUAGGUCUUGCUGAUGAUAUUCAUGAUCAAUUUUAUGGUUUGAUAUAAACUUUCGGUUCUGAGUCUGAUUAUAAUUGUGACUCUGAAUUUGAAAAUGAUAUUGAAUUGCCUAAUUCAUCUGAUAGUGAGCAUGCUAAUAUUUGUGCUGACUGCAAUGGUGAUAAUUGUGUUUGUGAUGAAACUUUUUAUAAAUUGCAAUCACAGUUUGAAGAUUUAGAUUUAAAUGUUCAAACCCUUACCGAUGAUAGCGUUCUUGAGUUAUUAAAAGAAGUUUUCGAUGAAAAAAUUCAUGAAAAAAUUAUUACAACUGCUACUAAAAAAUCUGCUGAUAGCGCCCCUAGUACUUCUAAAAUAGCUGAUAGCACUCACACAUCUCGGAGUACUGAUAAUGCUUAUUACAUGCCUUAUUCUUUAGCUGAGGUUAAUAGACGUCUUGCUGUAAGUCAAUUACUCGGCAAAGAUACAUCUUUCAAUGAUUUAAAAAUUGAGGUUGAAAACCUAUCCUACCCUUUUAUUAUUGAUCCAGUAACUAGAGAUACAAAUACUUUAAUUGAUAUGAAGCAAAAACAUAUAAACUUGUUACAACUUAAAAUAUUUUGGCAUGAAUAUUGGUGAUACCAUGAAAUCUUCUAAGGUACAGGAGAAUAUAAAAAUAAUCUCCGAAAAAAUGAUUAUUGAUAUAUGUGCUGAUCACCUCAAUGUUUUUUAGGAUCGUAAACAACAUGUUGUAACUCUUCCAUUUAAAGACGAUUUCUGUGAGGACAAGAUCUCAACGAAAUUAAGACCCUGCCAAAUGAAUGCAGAGCUAGUCGAAUUCUGCAAAAAGGAGAUUGAUAAUCUCUUACAAAAGGGUCUAAUAAAACCUUCUAAAUCUCCUUGGUCUUGUACUGCAUUUUAUGUGAAUAAUGCAGCUGAAAAAAAAUGUGGUAUGCCGAGGUUAUUAAUUAAUUAAAAACCUCUUAAUAAAUGUCUGAAAUGGAUUAGAUACCCUAUUCCAAAUAAAAAGGAUUUAUUGUCCAGAUUAUUUGAUGGCAAUAUAUUUUCUAAAUUUGAUUUAAAAUCUAGUUAUUGGCAAAUUCAGAUUUUUAGAGAGCACACUUAUAAAACUGCUUUCAAUGUCCCAUUCGGUCAAUUUGAAUGGAAUGUGAUGCCUUUUGGAUUGAAAAAUGCUCCUUCUGAAUUCCAGAAAAUAAUGAAUGACAUUUUUAAUCCAAAUAUGGAUUUCAUUAUUGUUUAUAUUGAUGAUAUUCUGGUGUUUUCUAAAACAUUAAAAUUACAUUUUAAACAUCUUGAUAUAUUUAAAAAGAUUGUGAUACAAAAUGGUUUGGUAAUAUCUAAACCAAAAAUGAGUUUAUUCCAGACAAGUAUUCAAUUUUUAGGUCACAGUAUUUGUCGAGGGAAGAUAGUCCCUAUUCAGCGUUUUAUUGAUUUUGCUGAUAAAUUUCCUAAUGUUAUCACUGAUAAAACCCAAUUACACAAAUUCAUAGGGAGUUUGAAUUAUAUAUCCCCACUUUAUGAGAAUCUGUCAAGAGAUUUAGCUCCCUUAUAUGAUAGAUUAAAAAAGCGCUUUCAAGGUCCCUAGACUAAUAGUCAUUCAAACCUUGUAAAACGUAUUAAGCAAUGUGUAAAAUCUUUGUCAUGCUUAACUUUAGCUAACCCUACUUGGCUAAAAAUUAUUGAAACUGAUGCCUCUAACGUUGGUUAUGGAGGAAUACUUAAACAAAUUAAUUCCCAUAAAAAUAUUGAAGAAUUGAUACAAUUUCAUUUCGAAAAAUGGACUGAUAGUCAAAAAAAGUAUGCAACGGUGACAUAUGAAAUGUUAACCAUUGUUAAGUGCGUUCUAAAAUUUCAGGAUGAUUUAUAUAAUCUAAAUUUUUUGAUUAAAACUGAUGCUCAAUCAGUGAAGUAUAUGUUUGACAAAGAUUUUAAACAUGGUGCUUCAAAAUUGAUAUUCGCAAGGUGGCAAGCUCAAUUAGCCCCUUUUGAUUUUGAAAUUCAAUAUAAAAAAAGAAUUGAUAAUUCCCUGCCUGAUUUCUUAUCUAGAGAAUAUUUAAGUGAAAAAUAAUUUUUUACACUCAUUUCCUCUCUACAAAAAUGAUAAUCACUACUAUAAAAGUAAUCUCUUUGAACGCAGAUAUGCAUAUGCUUAUUCUUGAAAAAUCAUACAUUCUAUAAUUGAAGAUGAAUUUGUUGUCUUUAAUUAUGAAGAAAUUAGAGACAAAAUUGAUUGGAUUAAUAUUGAUUCAUUUGACUAAUCUAUUCUAUGCAUUAUGACUACAGAUUCGCCCUGACAAAUGGCCAGAGGAAAAGGUAGAGGCAGAGGAAGAUACUUCUCUUCUGGGGGAAUAUCCACCCCUCAUCAUCACAUCCUCAGGCAUCAUAUGCUUCAUCAUCAAAUACCCCAGUGAUACGAAGGGGAAAUAUGAGUUUGAUAAAUUCUAAGGUUCCGCAGAUAGGCGAAUCUUCAUCAUAAUCGAUCCAUCUAGAAGAUAUUCCAAAGGAUCAUCCAUUAUAUAGACAAUUCCAGUCAUAUUUAACUGUAAAGCAAGCAGAUACGUUUGCUAAAAUAACAAAAGAAAAUGCUGAUAGCAAACCAUAUGAACAACUUGAUAAUAGAGAGCUGAUAGUUCUCGUUAU
RNAcentral lists this long non-coding RNA (7455 nucleotides) under Capsicum annuum. RNAcentral's name for it is "long non-coding RNA (CANN_LNC011478)". Lineage: Eukaryota; Viridiplantae; Streptophyta; Magnoliopsida; Solanales; Solanaceae. The record is from RNAcentral.